Molecule: ribosomal RNA, 434 nt
Filed under: uncultured bacterium
Lineage: Bacteria
Description: partial 16S ribosomal RNA
Rfam family: Bacterial small subunit ribosomal RNA
Source: RNAcentral
AGCGAACGCUGGCGGCAGGCCUAACACAUGCAAGUCGAACGAACCUUUCGGGGUUAGUGGCGGACGGGUGAGUAACACGUGGGAACGUGCCUUUAGGUUCGGAAUAACUCAGGGAAACUUGUGCUAAUACCGAAUGUGCCCUUCGGGGGAAAGAUUAAUCGCCUUUAGAGCGGCCCGCGUCAGAUUAGCUAGUUGGUUGAGGUAAUGGCUCACCAAGGCGACGAUCAGUAGCUGGUCUGAGAGGAUGAUCAGCCACAUUGGGACUGAGACACGGCCCAAACUCCUACGGGAGGCAGCAGUGGGGAAUCUUGCGCAAUGGGCGAAAGCCUGACGCAGCCAUGCCGCGUGAAUGAUGAAGGUCUUAGGAUUGUAAAAUUCUUUCACCGGGGACGAUAAUGACGGUACCCGGAGAAGAAGCCCCGGCUAACUUCGUG